Long non-coding RNA from Ictidomys tridecemlineatus (thirteen-lined ground squirrel), 1880 nucleotides. RefSeq lists it as uncharacterized. The record is from RefSeq and is a predicted model, not a curated record. Lineage: Eukaryota; Metazoa; Chordata; Mammalia; Rodentia; Sciuridae.
CGCGGGCGUCAGUGGGCGGGGCGGGGCCACGGCGGUUCCUCUCCCCGGCUCACGAGGGCGCUGUGUGCGCACCUGAGCGGCGUGUAGCCUCCUGUUGCUUUGCACUUUGCACCCGGGUGGAAGGGUUGCAAGCUCAGCCAGUUUUAGAUGUAAGCAUCACUGGUUCUGGGCCAAAUCGAGAAAUUGAAAUAGAGAACAAAUAUUUAUCAACCACCAUGCCAGACCUUUUGUAUAUUUUAAUUUUUUAUAGGCAAGUGACAAAAGGGGCCGUGUUCCAGAGCACGUGCAGGUAUUAGAACAGAAGUUAAAGUUGCCUUAACUGUUGAGUCCUUGCCUUCCCCAUUUCUUUUAGGCUUCUUUACAGGUCUGCGGCCCCUGGGCUUUUUGAGACCCCAAGUGAAAUCUCCCUCAAAGGUUUUCUCUUAUCUGCAUGAGCGAGCUUUGGGACGUGGAGGGGCUUGCCUAAAUGCCUGUUACCCCAAACCGCUGUUUGGAAUGGCUGAUAAGCAUAUUCAUUACUGAAUGGCUUAUUUUUUUCUUGUCCUUUUUUAAAAAAUGGAAUUUUCAGUUAUACACAAAAAUAGGAUCAUAUUUUGGAACCCCACUACCCAUCAUCCAGCUUAACAGUUACCAAUAGCUAUUAUUUUUCUUCACUUAAACCUUCCUAUCCCCUGCCCCAUUAUUUUAAGGCAGACAUCUGAUUAAUUCAUUUGUUAUACUUCAGUGUCUAUUUAUUUUUUUGAAUUAUUUUUAUUAGUUUUUGAUGAACUGUUUUAUUUAUUUGUUUGUAUGUGAUGCUGAGAAUUGAAACCAGUGCCUCACACAUGCUAGGAUUGAACCCAGGACCUAGUGCAUGCCAAGCAUGUCCCCUGCCUCUGAGCUGUGAACAAACUUAAAGAACCUGUGAUGCGUAACCACCUGCUGGAAAUGAAAUCUCCAGACCAAUGUUAAUUAACCUUCCAUUGUAUGCCGGACCCAUUCACAUCUCCUCCUGUAGAAAGAUCUAAGUUGCUUCUGACAGCUCUGGGCCAAGUGCGGCUUGAAGCUUGAUUCUCUGGCAGACAUCCACAGUGAAAGCAGAUGGAGCUAUUUAAAGCGCAAAACUGACCCUCCACCUCCACCUGAAGCUGAGGGUGCCCUUGGAAUGGAGCUCAAAUUCUUUCCUGAGGCUCACCACGCCUGCUGCUUCUGACCCUCUGCUACCUACCUACCUUUCUUUCUUCUUCUUUUUUUGUGGUGCUGGGGAUUGAAGCCAGGGCCUGGUUAUGCGAGGCAAGCGCUCCACCAACUGAGCCACAUCCCCAGCCCCUCCUGUCUGUACUUUCUGUACUUUUCGUUUUUUCUUUCUUUCUCUUGGUCAUGUGCAUUUUCAGUUUCCACAUCUGAAGAAUGCCCACGUCUGCAUAUUUGUGCCCUUGUGCAGUCCCUUCUGGGAUGUGGCCGGGUCUCAGUGGCUUGCUUCUAAGGAUAGAAUAAAGUCAAGAUUGACAGGAUGUUGCUUUGUCGGGUGGGGAGGUUACAGAAAGGCUCUGGUUUCUGUCUUGCUUCCUACUGGCUUGUUCUAAGAGAAGCCAACUGCCCUGUCAACGGCCCUAGGGAGAACAAAGGACCAAGUCAUCUCAGCAACAGCUCAUAAGGAACCGAACCUGCCGACAACAUGUGAGCUGCCCUUGAAGUAGAUUCACCCCGAGUCGAGUCUUCGGAGGAGACACAGCCCGGCCUGCCACCUUCAUUGCUGUCUUGUAAGGGACCUUGAGCCACAGGACCUGGCUAGCCCCCAAUCCUGGCCAGCAGAAGCCGAGAGCAUACAUGAUCCUGGACCUAAGCUACUAAAUUUGGGGUUAAUUCAUUACACAGAAAUAGAUAACUAAUGCAACCAU